GACGAACGCUGGCGGCGUGCUUAACACAUGCAAGUCGAACGAUGAAGAAGAGAAACGCGAACUUCGGUUCAAAUUUCACUUCGGAUUAGUGGCAGACGGGUGAGUAACGCGUGAGCAACCUACCUCUUACAAAGGGAUAGCCUCGGGAAACCGUGAUUAAUACCAUAUGACACAUUCAUAUGGCAUCUUAAGAAUGUUAAAGCUACGGCGGUAAGAGAUGGGCUCGCGUCCCAUUAGCUAGUUGGUGAGGUAACGGCCCACCAAGGCGACGAUGGGUAACCGGCCUGAGAGGGUGAACGGUCACAUUGGAACUGAGACACGGUCCAAACUCCUACGGGAGGCAGCAGUGGGGAAUAUUGCACAAUGGAGGGAACUCUGAUGCAGCGACGCCGCGUGAGCGAUGAAGGAAUUCGUUUCGUAAAGCUCUGUUCUAUGGGAAGAAAAGGACUGUACCAUAGGAGAAAGCCCCGGCUAAAUACGUG
RNAcentral lists this ribosomal RNA (482 nucleotides) under uncultured bacterium. RNAcentral describes it as "partial 16S ribosomal RNA". It matches the Rfam family "Bacterial small subunit ribosomal RNA", at positions 28 to 507 of the family's 1533-position model. The record is from RNAcentral.